GGUUAAGCGACUAAGCGUACACGGUGGAUGCCCUGGCAGUCAGAGGCGAUGAAGGGCGUGCUAAUCUGCGAUAAGCGCCGGUAAGGUGAUAUGAACCGUUAUAACCGGCGAUACCCGAAUGGGGAAACCCAGUGUGACUCGUCACACUAUCAUUAACUGAAUCCAUAGGUUAAUGAGGCGAACCGGGGGAACUGAAACAUCUAAGUACCCCGAGGAAAAGAAAUCAACCGAGAUUCCCCCAGUAGCGGCGAGCGAACGGGGAGGAGCCCAGAGCCUGAAUCAGCAUGUGUGUUAGUGGAAGCGUCUGGAAAGGCGCGCGAUACAGGGUGACAGCCCCGUACACAAAAGCGCAUGUGCUGUGAGCUCGAUGAGUAGGGCGGGACACGUGGUAUCCUGUCUGAAUAUGGGGGGACCAUCCUCCAAGGCUAAAUACUCCUGACUGACCGAUAGUGAACCAGUACCGUGAGGGAAAGGCGAAAAGAACCCCGGCGAGGGGAGUGAAAAAGAACCUGAAACCGUGUACGUACAAGCAGUGGGAGCACAGGUUUACCUGUGUGACUGCGUACCUUUUGUAUAAUGGGUCAGCGACUUAUAUUCUGUAGCAAGGUUAACCGUAUAGGGGAGCCG
This 627-nucleotide ribosomal RNA is filed under the name Salmonella enterica. Its description in RNAcentral is "partial 23S ribosomal RNA". It matches the Rfam family "Bacterial large subunit ribosomal RNA", at positions 1 to 668 of the family's 2925-position model. The record is from RNAcentral. Lineage: Bacteria; Pseudomonadati; Pseudomonadota; Gammaproteobacteria; Enterobacterales; Enterobacteriaceae.